Molecule: ribosomal RNA, 253 nt
Filed under: uncultured bacterium
Lineage: Bacteria
Description: partial 16S ribosomal RNA
Rfam family: Bacterial small subunit ribosomal RNA
Source: RNAcentral
UACAGAGGGUGCGAGCGUUAAUCGGAAUUACUGGGCGUAAAGCGCGCGUAGGCGGUUUUGUAAGUCGGGUGUGAAAUCCCCAAGCUUAACUUGGGAACUGCAUUCGAGACUGCAUAGCUAGAGUAUGGGAGAGGGAAGUGGAAUUUCAGGUGUAGCGGUGAAAUGCGUAGAUAUCUGAAGGAACAUCAGUGGCGAAAGCGACUUCCUGGACCAAUACUGACGCUCAUGUGCGAAAGCGUGGGGAGCGAACAGG